RNAcentral lists this ribosomal RNA (619 nucleotides) under uncultured Actinomycetes bacterium. RNAcentral's name for it is "bacterial SSU rRNA". It matches the Rfam family "Bacterial small subunit ribosomal RNA", at positions 8 to 610 of the family's 1533-position model. Lineage: Bacteria; Bacillati; Actinomycetota; Actinomycetes. The record is from RNAcentral.
AGAGUUUGAUCCUGGCUCAGGACGAACGCUGGCGGCGCGCUUAACACAUGCAAGUCGAGCGAUCGGCCAGGGGCUUGCCCCUGGUACGGAGCGGCGAACGGGUGAGUAACACGUGAGUAAUCCACCCUCGGCACCGGGAUAGCCCGGGGAAACCCGGAUUAAUACCGGAUGGCCCGCCUCCCUUUCGAGGGGGACGGAAAAGGUAGCUUUGGCCUCCGGCCGAGGACGAGCUCGCGGCGGAUUAGCUUGUUGGCGGGGUAACAGCCCACCAAGGCGACGAUCCGUAGCUGGUCUGAGAGGACGAUCAGCCACACUGGGACUGAGACACGGCCCAGACUCCUACGGGAGGCAGCAGUGGGGAAUCUUGCGCAAUGGGCGAAAGCCUGACGCAGCGACGCCGCGUGAGGGAAGAAGGCCUUCGGGUUGUAAACCUCUUUCAGGAGGGACGAAGCUCACUGGGUUAAUAGCCCUGUGGAGUGACGGUACCUCCAGAAGAAGCCCCGGCUAACUACGUGCCAGCAGCCGCGGUAAUACGUGGGGGGCAAGCGUUGUCCGGAUUUAUUGGGCGUAAAGCGCGUGUAGGCGGCCAGGUAGGUCAGUUGUGAAAAACUCGGGGCUC